This is a non-coding RNA of Pelobates cultripes (western spadefoot toad), 215 nucleotides long. The record is from the annotation of a GenBank genome assembly. NCBI's taxonomy places the organism in Eukaryota, Metazoa, Chordata, Amphibia, Anura, Pelobatidae.
CUGAAACUGUAGAUCGAGUGCAAUAGUUAAUUGAUGUUGUAAAGCUGAUUCUUUCUCUAUAAAAACUGAUUUUUCCUUUGUUAUCUCCUCAAUUUCUAGAGGAUUUUUCUCUUCUUGGUCAUUUUGAAUUGAUUUCUCCAGUUCUAAAUAAGUGGAAUGUGGUGAAAAAAAGGACAAUCACUUGUCAGUCUUGGCGUCUUUUUUAAUCUUUUUUU